This 254-nucleotide ribosomal RNA is filed under the name uncultured bacterium. RNAcentral's name for it is "partial 16S ribosomal RNA". It matches the Rfam family "Bacterial small subunit ribosomal RNA", at positions 524 to 776 of the family's 1533-position model. The record is from RNAcentral.
UACGGGGGGAGCAAGCGUUGUUCGGAUUUACUGGGCGUAAAGGGCGCGUAGGCGGCCAGCACAAGUCAGUUGUGAAGUCUCCGAGCUUAACUCGGAACGGUCAACUGAUACUGUGCGGCUAGAGUGCGGAAGGGGCAACUGGAAUUCUUGGUGUAGCGGUGAAAUGCGUAGAUAUCAAGAGGAACACCUGCGGCGAAGGCGGGUUGCUGGGCCGACACUGACGCUGAGGCGCGAAAGCCAGGGGAGCGAACGGG